GAGGGAGGGUAUGAAACAUGUAAAACAUAUCUGAGAAAGUGCCCAUCCCGUCAUCCUUGGUUGCCUGAAUACCUUGACUCCCACUGGGAGGAGAACGGACACAUCACAGAGUCCUAGUUAUUGAGGAGGCAGGAAGACACGAUCAGUCACGACCAUACCAUGAAGCAAAGAGAAUCCAGACACAGCAGUGUGAGCUGUGGGAUUCUGUUGGCUAAAAUGUCCCGAUUCUUGGUGACGGGACAUAACAGAGGCCAAGGUGAAGAUCUGCCUUGGAGGCAGAGAGGAAGGGGAAGGCGCGUAAGGUGCAGCCCUUGAAGACUGGGUGUGUUUGGUUUCUGACUGGAGUCUGGUCACACACUUUGGAGUGGGUCGUUCUAACAGACCAACUUAUCCAUUUUGUGGGUGGAUAAAGAAGGGAGUCCCGUGUCACAGGAUAUUGGAACCCCAAGAUCGUGUGCCCAUCCCAAGCACACACUUUUAGUCAAAGAGCUUUGCGUUUAUCAUAAGCAGUCUUAAAUAAAAUCAACCACAGAUCAAGAAGUGGAGCAAAGCAACCAGCUGACGGGGUGGACAUUGAAGUAAAUGGACAGAGUGGGAGGAAGUCAGGAGGAGGGAUAGUGAGGCACACAGGAAGGAGAAGGGAGGGAUGCUCAGUUGGAAGGUUUAUUGGGCUAGUGUGGAGAAGGAGAGCUUUUUCCUUUUGGGAUGCUGGCUGAGCAGCAAGGUCAGCUGGGUGCUUUCUCUGCCCCUCUGAGGCUUUCACCCCAGCAUCUGGCUCCUGACUCUUCACUGGUAAAUGGAACGUUUAAGACUCUGUUAAGAACAACAGUGGGGGUCCACCUACUGAUUGGCUUUCACAGUCGCUCGCUCCUUCCUCCACAGGGGAGUUCAUCUUCUCUUGACUUUCUUUGGUGAACUCCUAUAGAUUGAUCUCAUCUAGACCAGGCUUCUUCUUCUUAAGGAAGCCCUUUUCCUAUUGUAUCAGUCAGCGGUGGCCGCAAAACAAACACGACCAUGAAGAGAGUGAGAACAGUGAUUGUUAGCUCACAUUUCUUUAUUUGGGACGUACGUGAUACCCAUGAGCUGGGGUGUCAGACAGGAGGGCUCCAUCCAGACAGAGUACCCAGGGAGGAAGCCAGCAGCAGGAUAUGACAUAGGCCCGCUGUCUAGGCCCCUCAGUGGCAGAGUGGAGACCAGACCGAGUAUGGAACUCAGGCGGUGACCACUAGCCUGUACAGAUUCGGACCCCAGCCCCGGCACCUCCUUCCUGUGCAGCUUUGGGUGGGCGUGGACUUCUGUCCUGGUGAAAGGGAGUCACAGUGAGUUUUAGAGGCAAUGAUCACACAUAAUGUGCAGAGCUGCUCCCUAUACAUAGUAGGUACACAGCAAGGACCCUGUAGUCUGCUUGCUCUGGCAGACUAAUGUCACUCAGAGAUCCCUGGUGGCAGGGGAUCCUGACUCAUUCAGUGACCUUGGUAUCCUCAGUUCUGCAGUGACUAUGGCCUGGAGCAGCUGUGACUGGGUGGCCCCUCUCCAGGUGCAGGUGCUGGACCUGCAGGAUCCUCCAGUGUGUCUCAGAGCCAGCCCCAUGUUUAAGGUAUUGCUGAACCCACUGACAGAAAGUCCUAUGACAGUGUCUCCUUUGUUAAUCAGCCAAACCUUCCCGGUGCCAGGUUAGCAGGGCCAUAUUUGCCUCACUUUAGGGCUUGCCCUAGGAUGCAGGUCAAAGGUAACCAGGCCCCUCCACCACCAGCAGUGUGGACCGCAACGUGGCGUGGCGUUAAUGUUGGAGUUUCUUUUUGAUACCAACCUUUCUGGAAAGAACUGCCCACGCGAACAUCACCUGCCCUGCGACCCGAUCAUUGCAGAACUCCUUCAGCAAAGCAGGAGGCUGGCUCCUGACAGACCUCUGGUCCUGAGGUCAGGCUCCCCUCUCCAGCAUCCCCAUCCACGAGAGGCACCGUGGGUGGCAUGUCCCUAGUAGCAGGGCCCUUUCGCCAUCACAAAGAGAACCCACUUCUCCCAAAUGAAUGGAACCCCAACUUCAGGAACACAUGGUCUCACUGCAGUGUGCGGACAGGUGGGGGAUUCUCGGCUCUACUUGAUCCUGACAGGAUAUGGGACAACUGUGGCCACUAAGCAUCUAGACCUCAUGGCUCAUGGAUUUCAUAGCAGAAUCCAUGCCCCAAUCCUGUGCAUUCUCAGGGGGCUGCUGGGUGCUCAGUGGUGAUAUAAGGGGACACACACACACGCUCAGGACAAUGAGGCAGCAAAUAGGGGUGUAGCGUCUGGGUCACAGUGACACUGGGAGGGAGGGAGAGGCGCCUGUGGUAGGAAGGAAGUUAGAGAUGUGCGUAGAAGGAACCAAGGGCUGAGAAUCAGGAAGGUGGAAGAGUAUCUAGCUGUGGGCAGAAGAGUCCAUUGUGGUGUCAGACUAGCUUUAAAGGAAUGGGGAGGGUGCACAGGACACCCAGACUUCCCCACAUGUCCCUGUCAGAGAAUGUCUCCAUCUUCUCAGGGUUUCUUGCAGUCUCCCUCAUUUACUUCCUUCCCUGGCCACUUCUUUCACCAGGACUCGCUGGUACUCACCGUCAGCCGUCAGCCGCUGUGCAGGGCACAGGUGGUCCCAUGCCAGUCCCUGCCUCUGCCACCAGGGACAUAAAGGGCAGUUUGAUGUGGAAGGACUCAGUAAUAGCAGUGUCGUGCCACAGUGAGAAAGUGUGUCUCUGCUAGAGGUGCUCCCGCCCCCAGAACCAUUCUCUUCCAAGCAAAGCAAAGUUACAUUGUUAUACCUGUCAGAUGGCUUGAGGGAAGGCCGUGUGCCAGCAUCUAGUGCCCCGGAACACCUCAAAUGGAUCCUGGAAGGACUUCAUGGUGACCGGGCUUGGUGGGGUGCAGCUGCUCAUUUUGACAGGCUGGAAGAGAGGACCAGGAGAGCAAGCAAAAGGAGGCAGUGGAGACAAGCAAUACCCUUCCAAAGCAUGUCCCCCAUAGUGGCCUCUUCCCUUAAACUCUCCCUCUGCCUCCCAACUUCCCAUUGCCUCCCAACACCACUGCCAGUUAUAACUCUAUCGAGGGACUUUCCAUUGAUGAAGACAGCACCUGUUUGCUGGUUCAUCUAAUCUGUGUCUGGAUUCAUCUAUACUGUCAUUGCUAUAGGCAGUGUGUGUGUGUGUGU
This 3178-nucleotide small RNA is filed under the name Rattus norvegicus (Norway rat). RNAcentral describes it as "uncharacterized LOC102555497". Lineage: Eukaryota; Metazoa; Chordata; Mammalia; Rodentia; Muridae. The record is from RNAcentral.